Molecule: long non-coding RNA, 627 nt
Organism: Taeniopygia guttata (zebra finch)
Lineage: Eukaryota; Metazoa; Chordata; Aves; Passeriformes; Estrildidae
Source: RefSeq, a predicted model, not a curated record
ACUGUAAGGUUACGGCGUUUUAUUCACUACAGAAACAGAUGACAAAACAAGAUGUACUAAGCAACCAACUAGAAGAUGGCUUUUUAAGUGCUGACUCAAAGUGAUUUUGGAAACAUCCCCAGUGAAAAAAUGAUGGCCAGAGGCCAGAAGAACAGCUCAUUAUGAGAGGUGGGAAUCAGACUGUAGAAUGAAAUAAGCAUUAACAACUUCCAGUUUCAUCCUACAAACCAGGGAGAAUUUUAUGUCAUCACAACAGGAAGCUUUGAAGAAGCAGUUCUGCUUGGAUUUUAUGUGCUUUCCAUUGUCACAUCAUCAUCAGAAACAAAAACACAGGAGCUGGUAAAUAAAUGGUAGCAGAAGAUAUAUUCUUUUACUGAGAUUUUAUUUUGAAGAAGCAUAAUCCAUCACUGGCUGUUUUCAUUUCUAGGGGAUGGUGAAUCUGAUGUGCUUGAGUAAGCACUCGUGUUCUUGAGUCAAACAUCUCAUCACUAAGUAAAACUAAUCUGAAGACUUAGGCAUGUUUUAAGGGUUUUCUAUACUCUCUAGUCUAUGUAUUUCUGAGGGGGGGAAAAAAAGAACAAAAAAACCAAACCAAACCAAAAGCAACCACAUACUGAAAAACUCAAA